RNAcentral lists this ribosomal RNA (309 nucleotides) under uncultured bacterium. Its description in RNAcentral is "bacterial SSU rRNA". It matches the Rfam family "Bacterial small subunit ribosomal RNA", at positions 28 to 334 of the family's 1533-position model. The record is from RNAcentral.
GAUGAACGCCAGCGGCAGGCCUCAUACAUGCAAGUCGAGGGGCAGCGGUACACUUCGGUGUAGCCGGCGACCGGCGCACGGGUGCGUAACACGUAUGCAACCUACCUUAUACUGAGGGAUAGCCACUGGAAACAGAGAUUAAUACCUCAUAUUAUCUUAUUUACACAUGUAAGCAAGAUGAAAGCUCCGGCGGUAUAAGAUGGGCAUGCGUCCUAUUAGCUUGUUGGUAAGGUAACGGCUUACCAAGGCAACGAUAGGUAGGGGGUUUGAGAGGAUGAUCCCCCACACUGGCACUGAGACACGGGCCAG